GAGAAGAGGUCCAGAAGAUGAAUCCAGGAUCCCUAAAUUUAAAAGGUGAUGAGAAUCCAUCCAUUGAAGGGGAAGAAGCAAAAGAGAUCAAAAGUCAGGCAGUACCUUCGAUGUCAGUACCCGAGAGUUCUUAGGUUUUUGGUUUUGUGGGGGUAUAGGUUUUUGGUGCGGUACGGAAGGAGUUGAGCAGAGUAAUGCAGCGAGGCCGGAAGGUUGCGGCCUUAUGUUAAAGGUAGAUGGUAGAAAUGAUGUAUUGAAUUUUGGACGUGCAAGUUAGUAUUGUGUGGAGUGUAGUCCACUGUUAUACGUAAAAAUAUGUAUAUGACCGUGUGUCUACGGAUGAUGGCUAGGCCGGCUUGAGUUUCCAAACCAUAAUUCCACCUUGUAUAUAGGCUCUUGUUGUACUCAAGGAAUGUAGUGAAUCUAAAUUCAAUUGGGUGCG
RNAcentral lists this unclassified non-coding RNA (442 nucleotides) under Hevea brasiliensis (rubber tree). Lineage: Eukaryota; Viridiplantae; Streptophyta; Magnoliopsida; Malpighiales; Euphorbiaceae. The record is from RNAcentral.